Molecule: long non-coding RNA, 319 nt
Organism: Melospiza melodia melodia
Lineage: Eukaryota; Metazoa; Chordata; Aves; Passeriformes; Passerellidae
Exons: 3
Source: RefSeq, a predicted model, not a curated record
AAGAACUGUAGUCUGUGCAGUUGCUUCACCUCUGAGAGAACUAAAUCUGAUUGCUUGGGACAAGUUUCUGCCUUGCUGCACUAAGCUAAACAUAGCAGGAUUAAGGUGAUCUGCCUGGUGAAGAUGGAAUCUCAGUCAGACAGAAAGCAGAAAGGACUGGAAAAAAGUACUGCAAAGAAGGAAAAGAAGCUGGUAAGCUCCCCCUCGUCUGAUUCAGCCAUCAUUCCUUCUGACCCCCAGAACAUUUUCUGCACGGCUGCCAAGAGGGAGCAGGACCUGGGAAGUCUCCUGAUGCAGCUGCCCACCUCCCGAGGUCAGG